CAGCCACACUGGACUGAGACACGGUCCAGACUCCUACGGGAGGCAGCAGUGGGGAAUAUUGCACAAUGGGCGCAAGCCUGAUGCAGCCAUGCCGCGUGUAUGAAGAAGCCUUCGGGUUGUAAAGUACUUUCAGCGGGGAGGAAGGGAGUAAAGUUAAUACCUUUGCUCAUUGACGUUACCCGCAGAAGAAGCACCGGCUAACUCCGUCCAGCAGCCGCGGUAAUACGGAGGGUGCAGCGUUAAUCGGAAUUACUGGGCGUAAAGCGCACGCAGGCGGUUUGUUAAGUCAGAUGUGAAAUCCCCGGGCUCAACCUGGAACUGCAUCUGAUACUGGCAAGCUUGAGUCUCGUAGAGGGGGGUAGAAUCCAGGUGUAGCGGUGAAAUGCGUAGAGAUCUGGAGGAAUACCGGUGGCGAAGGCGGCCCCCUGGACGAAGACUGACGCUCAGGUCGAAAGCGUGGGGAGCAAACAGGAUUAGAUACCCUGGUAGUCCACGCCGUAAACGAUGUCGACUUGGAGGUUGUGCCUUGAGGCGUGGCUUCCGGAGCUAACGCGUUAAGUCGACCGCCUGGGGAGUACGGCCGCAAGGUUAAAACUCAAUGAAUUGACGGGGGCCCGCACAAGCGGUGGAGCAUGUGGUUUAAUUCGAUGCAACGCGAAGAACCUUACUGGUCUUGACAUCCACGGAAGUUUUCAGAGAUGAGAAUGUGCCUUCGGGAACCGUGAGACAGGUGCUGCAUGCUGUCGUCAGCUCGUGUUGUGAAAUGUUGGGUUAAGUCCCGCAACGAGCGCAACCCUUAUCCUUUGUUGCCAGCGUCCGGCCGGGAACUCAAAGGAGACUGCCAGUGAUAAACUGGAGGAAGGUGGGGAUGACGUCAAGUCAUCUGGCCCU
This 891-nucleotide ribosomal RNA is filed under the name Escherichia coli. RNAcentral describes it as "bacterial SSU rRNA". It matches the Rfam family "Bacterial small subunit ribosomal RNA", at positions 305 to 1202 of the family's 1533-position model. The record is from RNAcentral. Lineage: Bacteria; Pseudomonadati; Pseudomonadota; Gammaproteobacteria; Enterobacterales; Enterobacteriaceae.